CGGCCCUUUCCGGGGGUAUGAAAAAAGCCCUUCGGGUUGUUAAAGUUCUUUUCAGCAGUGAGGAAAGGUGGGUAUGUUAAUAGCAUUAUCAUUUGACUUAAGUUGCAGAAAAAGCCCCGGCUAAUUCCGUGCCAGCAGCCGCGGUAAUACGGAGGGUGCGAGCGUUAAUCGGAAUUACUGGGCGUAAAGCGCAUGCAGGUGGUUUGUUAAGUCAGAUGUGAAAGCCCGGGGCUCAACCUCGGAAUUGCAUUUGAAACUGGCAAACUAGAGUACUGUAGAGGGGGGUAGAAUUUCAGGUGUAGCGGUGAAAUGCGUAGAGAUCUGAAGGAAUACCGGUGGCGAAGGCGGCCCCCUGGACAGAUACUGACACUCAGAUGCGAAAGCGUGGGGAGCAAACAGGAUUAGAUACCCUGGUAGUCCACGCCGUAAACGAUGUCUACUUGGAGGUUGUGGCCUUGAGCCGUGGCUUUCGGAGCUAACGCGUUAAGUAGACCGCCUGGGGAGUACGGUCGCAAGAUUAAAACUCAAAUGAAUUGACGGGGGCCCGCACAAGCGGUGGAGCAUGUGGUUUAAUUCGAUGCAACGCGAAGAACCUUACCUACUCUUGACAUCUACAGAAGCCAGCGGAGACGCAGGUGUGCCUUCGGGAACUGUAAGACAGGUGCUGCAUGGCUGUCGUCAGCUCGUGUUGUGAAAUGUUGGGUUAAGUCCCGCAACGAGCGCAACCCUUAUCCUUGUUUGCCAGCACUUCGGGUGGGAACUCCAGGGAGACUGCCGGUGAUAAGCCGGAGGAAGGUGGGGACGACGUCAAGUCAUCAUGGCCCUUACGAGUAGGGCUACACACGUGCUACAAUGGCGCAUACAGAGGGCGGCCAACUUGCGAAAGUGAGCGAAUCCCAAAAAGUGCGUCGUAGUCCGGAUUGGAGUCUGCAACUCGACUCCAUGAAGUCGGAAUCGCUAGUAAUCGUGGAUCAGAAUGCCACGGUGAAUACGUUCCCGGGCCUUGUACACACCGCCCGUCACACCAUGGGAGUGGGCUGCAAAAGAAGUGGGUAGUUUAACCUUCGGGAGGACGCUCACCACUUUGUGGUUCAUGACUGGGGUGAAGUCGUAACAAGGUAACCG
RNAcentral lists this ribosomal RNA (1125 nucleotides) under uncultured bacterium. RNAcentral describes it as "bacterial SSU rRNA". It matches the Rfam family "Bacterial small subunit ribosomal RNA", at positions 388 to 1502 of the family's 1533-position model. The record is from RNAcentral.